Molecule: transfer RNA, 74 nt
Filed under: Nanohaloarchaea archaeon SW_10_44_10
Lineage: Archaea; Methanobacteriati; Methanobacteriota; Candidatus Nanohaloarchaea
Also listed under: 5 other names
Description: tRNA-Tyr
Rfam family: tRNA
About the family: Transfer RNA (tRNA) molecules are approximately 80 nucleotides in length. Their secondary structure includes four short double-helical elements and three loops (D, anti-codon, and T loops).
Source: RNAcentral
CCCGACUUAGCUCAGUCUGGCAGAGCGUCCGCCUGUAGAGCGGAUUGUCCCAGGUUCAAAUCCUGGAGUCGGGA